UACGUAGGGGGCAAGCGUUGUCCGGAAUCAUUGGGCGUAAAGCGCGUGUAGGCGGUUCGGUAAGUCCGCUGUGAAAGUCCAGGGCUCAACCCUGGGAUGCCGGUGGAUACUGUCGGACUAGAGUACGGAAGAGGCGAGUGGAAUUCCCGGUGUAGCGGUGAAAUGCGCAGAUAUCGGGAGGAACACCAAUUGCGAAGGCAGCUUGCUGGGACGUUACUGACGCUAAGGCGCGAAAGCGUGGGGAGCGAACAGG
Molecule: ribosomal RNA, 253 nt
Filed under: uncultured bacterium
Lineage: Bacteria
Description: partial 16S ribosomal RNA
Rfam family: Bacterial small subunit ribosomal RNA
Source: RNAcentral